This is a long non-coding RNA of Fukomys damarensis (Damara mole-rat), 1161 nucleotides long. RefSeq lists it as uncharacterized. The record is from RefSeq and is a predicted model, not a curated record. NCBI's taxonomy places the organism in Eukaryota, Metazoa, Chordata, Mammalia, Rodentia, Bathyergidae. The transcript has 3 exons.
UUCUUUCUUGGUCCCGGAUCGAACUUGAGUUCUGGCCCUUGCCAGGCAGUCGCCAGAACCAAUGAGCUAUAUCCCCAGCCCAGCCCAACAGUGCUUUUUCUAGAUGAACACAGAUGUUCAAAUUCUUUGUUCAUUAUCAUGGAGCAAUCUUUGCCAAGGUUACUGGGGAAAGGAGGUAUCUAGGCUCGGAGAAGAGCCUGGCCCGCCUCUGGUGCCCCUGAAAGCCCUGCACUCCUCCCUUGGGUCCCACGGAGGGAAGCUCCGCCCCUCUGCCCGGGGCCAAUCACAGGGUGCAGGCUCAGGGUCAGGACCUGUCCAGACUCCAGAGGCCACAGUGGAAGAGGCGGGGAACGGAGAAGCUCAGAUCCCCUAAUGCUGUUUAGCCGGCGCUGAGGACUGCUGGCACUGUACCUGCUUUAGAGUUAGUGUCCCCGGAGGCAAGCGCGAGGCAGCCAUCUCAGCGAAACAAGGCGUCCGGCUGGAGCGCGCAGGAGCGGAAGUGGGGGCGGGGCACAGAUCAGCCUCCUGGGAAACCGCAAGAGCCGGGUCUUCCGCAGAGCCCGGGAAUUUACGAGCGGAGUCGGCGAUGUAGCUCAGUGUUGCCACGUCUGCCUGGCAAGCCGAGGUCCUGAGUUCAGUUCCUCAGAAGGGUAAUUUAGCAAAAGCAUUUGGCACAGUUCUUGGAAUGGGAUUGUAGUUAAGAAUUCAAUAAGUGGUAGGUUCAUAUUUUGGACAGGAAUUUUAAGACGAGUGCACUGCCACUAAGUGUUGCUAUUCAUACAGGGGAAGCUCAUUCCUCUUGGAGAUCUUGAACAAAGUGUCUGAAAGGCAAAGUAGAUGCAACUAUUUUCUGCCCCAGAGACAGCUUGGCCAGUCAAAUGUGAUUGAAGAGAGGUCAGUAUGGAGCAGGGCUUUUGUGAGCCUCCAUGUAGAUCUGCUAACUCACCUGUUUCCAUCUGCCACAAAGCCAGCAUAGAGGAGCUUGCCCACCAUAGAUGUUAAUGUGAGUCUUACUAAGCUUUUGAAGUUGCUGGGUCAUACUAGCUUGGCAUAAACUGAAUGGUCUGCUGGUCAAGUACAUAAGAUCAAUCCCCUAGCAUACCUGUUAAAAUCCUUUGUCAAAUUCUAUUAAGAAAGAUCACAAAUGAUCUCAACAGUGGU